RNA transcript from Rhinopithecus roxellana (golden snub-nosed monkey), 996 nucleotides. It is a transcript of the gene named methyltransferase like 26, with no coding region annotated. The record is from RefSeq and is a predicted model, not a curated record. Lineage: Eukaryota; Metazoa; Chordata; Mammalia; Primates; Cercopithecidae. The transcript is spliced from 5 exons.
CGCGGGAGCCCGGCCACCGCCCCCGAUGCGACCAGUGCAGUGUCUGCAGCUGGGAGGAGUUGCGGCCGCGAUGCUGGUGGCGGCGGCUGCGGAGCGGAACAAGGAGCCAAUCCUGCACGUGCUACGGCAGUACCUGGACCCGACCCAGCGCGGCGUCCGCGUACUCGAGGUGGCCUCGGGCUCCGGCCAGCACGCGGCGCACUUCGCGCGGGCCUUCCCCCUGGCCGAGUGGCAGCCGUCGGACGUGGACCAGCGCUGCCUGGACAGCAUCGCGGCCACCACGCAAGCCCAGGGUCUGACCAACGUGAAGGCCCCGCUGCACCUGGACGUGACGUGGGGCUGGGAGCACUGGGGCGGGAUCCUGCCGCAGUCGCUGGACCUGUUGCUCUGCAUCAACAUGACCCACAUCAGCCCCCUGUGCUGCACGGAGGGGCUCUUCAGAGCAGCAGGACACCUGCUCAAACCCAGAGCCCUGCUCAUCACCUACGGGGUGAGUGGGCCUGUCCAGGGCGGCCUCCCGCUCGAAGUCCUAGCUGCUCUCUCCUGCCCUACUCAGAGUCCUCCCUCCUUGGCUCCCUGCCCCCCGCCCAGCCACCAGCAUGGCCUCCCAUCCAAUUCCACUCUGCACCCCUCCCUGGGUCACCUGCCAGCCUCCCUACCCCCUUGCCCACCAGCCUGGCCUUGGCUGACUCCCUCUUGGGGACAGGGAGGGGGUGCCCGUUUCAUUCUCUGGACCCCAGACUGCAAGUCUGUCCCGGGCUCUCUGGGAAAUAGCGACCUUGGUCCAGUGGGCUGUGUCCGCAUCCCCGCAGCCCUAUGCCAUCAACGGGAAGAUCUCUCCCCAGAGCAACGUGGACUUUGACCUAAUGCUCAGAUGCAGGAACCCGGAAUGGGGCCUUCGGGACACAGCCCUCCUGGAGGACCUGGGACAGGCCAGUGGCCUGCUCCUGGAGAGGAUGGUGGACAUGCCAGCCAACAACAAGUGCCUGAUCUUCA